UUCAGUUAGAGCAGGAAAUUGUCCUUGCCUA
Molecule: non-coding RNA, 31 nt
Filed under: Rattus norvegicus (Norway rat)
Lineage: Eukaryota; Metazoa; Chordata; Mammalia; Rodentia; Muridae
Source: RNAcentral